AGCAGCCGCGGUAAUUCCAGCUCCAAUAGCGUAUAUUAAAGUUGUUGCAGUUAAAAAGCUCGUAGUUGAAUUUCGGGGUCAAUAAGUUGGUCGUGCCAAUGGUAUGCACUGGCUUUAUUGAUUCCUACCUCUUGACGAACUGUGAUGCCAUUAAUUUGGUGUCGCAAGGAAUCAGGACCGUUACCUUGAAAAAAUUAGAGUGUUUAAAGCAGGCUUACGCUUGAAUACAUUAGCAUGGAAUAAUGAAAUAGGACGUUUUGAACCUAUUUUGUUGGUUUCUAGGAUCGACGUAAUGAUUAAUAGGGAUAGUUGGGGGCAUUAGUAUUCAAUUGUCAGAGGUGAAAUUCUUGGAUUUAUUGAAGACUAACUACUGCGAAAGCAUUUGCCAAGGAUGUUUUCAUUAAUCUAAGAACGAAAGUUAGGGGAUCGAAGACGAUCAGAUACCGUCGUAGUCUUAACCAUAAACUAUGCCGACUAGGGAUCGGAUGAUGUUAAUUUUUAAU
RNAcentral lists this ribosomal RNA (503 nucleotides) under uncultured Glomus. Its description in RNAcentral is "SSU rRNA". It matches the Rfam family "Eukaryotic small subunit ribosomal RNA", at positions 569 to 1074 of the family's 1831-position model. Lineage: Eukaryota; Fungi; Glomeromycota; Glomeromycetes; Glomerales; Glomeraceae. The record is from RNAcentral.